RNAcentral lists this ribosomal RNA (148 nucleotides) under uncultured bacterium. Its description in RNAcentral is "partial 16S ribosomal RNA". It matches the Rfam family "Bacterial small subunit ribosomal RNA", at positions 383 to 524 of the family's 1533-position model. The record is from RNAcentral.
CUGAUGGAGCACGCCGCGUGUGUGAUGAAGGGUUUCGGCUCGUAAAACACUGUUGUAAGAGAAGAAUGACAUUGAGAGUAACUGUUCAAUGUGUGACGGUAUCUUACCAGAAAGGAACGGCUAAAUACGUGCCAGCAGCCGCGGUAAU